This 75-nucleotide non-coding RNA is filed under the name unclassified sequences. The record is from Rfam.
UGCCUCAUACGAAAGGUAUGAGGGAAGGAGAUUGUUGUCAACUGUUCUGCAAGAAUGUUCUCGAGAACAUCUAGC